UUGAGGGCGAUGAAAUAGUCUCUGAAACCAUAUGCCUACAAAGAGUCGGAGCUUUCAUGUGUAGCAAUAUAUAUGGAGGUGACGGCGUGCCUAUUGAAGAAUGAGCCAACGAGUUAUCGUGCAUUACGGAAUCUAAGUCCGCUUUGCGGACGGAGGUGUAGCGAAAGCGAGUCUGAAUAGGGCGAAUAUCAAACUAUAAAUCCACUCUGAUAAGGGCGGGCUUGUCCCGAGCUUGUCGAGGGAUUUAUGGUUUGACCGUAGUUUACGAUAGACCCGAAGCCAGGUGAGCUUGCCAUGACCAGGGUGAACUCCGACGAAAGUCGAAGGGAGGCCCGAACCGGUGAGCCGUGCAAAACUCUCGGAUGAGUUGUGGUAAGGAGUGAAAAGCUAAUCGAACCUGGUAAUAGCUGGUUCUCUCCGAAAUAGCUUUUGGGCUAGCGGCUAUCGCAAGCCAGCAGGUAGAGCACUGGAAGGUCUGUACAGGGAGAAAUCUCGACAGUCCUAUCAAACUCCGAAUGGCUGGUGUUUGGAUAGUUAGUCAGACCAUGGGGGCUAAGCUCCAUAGGUCAAGAGGGAAAGAGCCCAGAUCGCAAUCUAAGGUCCCAAAAUCUGCGUUCAGUGCACUUAAGGAGGUGAGGUUUUUCAGACAGCGAGGAGGUUGGCUUAGAAGCAGCCAUCCUUUAAAGAGUGCGUAACAGCUCACUCGUCGAAAGACCUUGCGCCGCAAAUAAUCGGGGCUUAAACGCAGUACCGAAGGUGCGAAUUGCAUAUCUUUAUUGAUAUGUGAUGGUAGGAGAGCAUUUUGUAUGCUGUGAAGUUCACGCCGCGAGGCGGGAUGGAGCGUACAGAAGAGAGAAUGUUGGCACAAGUAACCGCAAGGCCCGUGAGAGCCGGGCCCGCCGAAAGCACAAGGUUUCCUUGGCAAUGAUGAUCAUCCAAGGGUUAGUCGGUCCUAAGCCAAUGGCGAAAGCCGCAGGCGAUGGACAUACGGUUAAUAUUCCGUAACUCGGUUGCUGAUCGACGAAGUGACGAAGUUUAGUAUGCGAAACGUGUUAUUGGAUUCGCGUUCAUGCCGUAAGGGUGUGCUCCAGGAAAAUCCGGAGCGCUGAAUUUAAUUUCAAACUCAAGCGGAGUGAAAAUUUUUGUCUACGGACAGGAAAAUUUCGCAAAGCAAGCUUCCAAGAAAAGCUUCUACGAUUAUCAGCAAUUGAACCGUACCGCAAACCGACACAGGUGUGCAGGUCGAGUAGACCAAGGCGAACAGGUGAGACCUCCCUAAGGAACUCGGCAAAAAAGCGGCCGUAACUUCGGGAUAAGGCCUGCCCUCCGUAAGGAGGGCCGCAGCGAAAGUUUCUCUGGCGACUGUUUAUCAAAAACACAGCUCCCUGCGAACUCGUAAGAGGAUGUAUAGGGGGUGACGCCUGACCAAUGCGAGAAGGUUAAACAUUGUCGGUGGGUGGUAGCAAUACUGCCUGCUGCAUAGUGUAAGCCCUCGUCAAUGUCGGCGAUAACUAUAAUCGUCCUAAGGUAGCGCAAUUCCUUGUCGGGUAAGGAAGUUGCCCGAUGCAGUAGUGAUACUGCAAUAAAACCGGCUUAUAACGGUGAAGUCCUCGCUGGAGUCUCGCAUCAAGGGCGAGACAGUGAAAGCAGGAUAAUACCGUGGGAAGUCGCCCCGCAGCUGCGGGGUUGACCCCGUAACGACUGAAGUCGCCGCCGUACAGCGGCGACCGAGAUGGAUUUGUGGUAUCAUGAAUUUAUCAUAUGCCGGCUCUCAACAAGAAGCGUAAUCUGUAUGAAUAUAUUUCAGGAAAAGAAAUAUACGCGAGAAGAAAUUCUCAACGCGUUGAGAUGAAGAUAUAGUCUGUGCCAUUAGAAAUAAUGGAUUACAUGAAGUUCCGACGCGCACGAAAGGCGUAACGACUGGAGAACUGUCUCGGGGAGGUGCCUGGUGAAAAUGCGAUGCCGGUGAAGAUGCCGGUUACCUGCAGUUAGACGAAAAGACCCCGGAAGCUUUACUGCAACUUGGUAUUGGGUAUAGAUUUUUGAUGCGUAGCGUAGUGGGUAGCCUUUGAUGGUAUGAUUUCGGUUGUACCGGAGGCGCCAAUGAAACACCCAUCUUCAAACAUUUAUAUUCUAACCCCUGCGGCAAAAACGCAGAGGGACAGUGCCUGGUGGGCAGUUUUGGUGGGGCGCUAUCCUCCCAAAAAGUAACGGAGGAGUUUACCAA
Molecule: ribosomal RNA, 2227 nt
Filed under: groundwater metagenome
Description: bacterial LSU rRNA
Rfam family: Bacterial large subunit ribosomal RNA
Source: RNAcentral